This 73-nucleotide transfer RNA is filed under the name Metschnikowia bicuspidata. It matches the Rfam family "tRNA". From Rfam's summary of the family: Transfer RNA (tRNA) molecules are approximately 80 nucleotides in length. Their secondary structure includes four short double-helical elements and three loops (D, anti-codon, and T loops). Lineage: Eukaryota; Fungi; Ascomycota; Pichiomycetes; Serinales; Metschnikowiaceae. The record is from Rfam by way of RNAcentral.
GGGCGUGUGGCGUAGUUGGCAGCGCGUCUGCUUUGCAAGCAGAAGGUCAUCAGUUCGACUCUGGUCUCGUCCA